GUCUCUGUGGCGCAAUUGGUUAGUGUGUUUGGCUGGUCACUAAACGGUUGGUGGUUCAAGCCCACCCAGGGACG
RNAcentral lists this transfer RNA (74 nucleotides) under Petromyzon marinus (sea lamprey). RNAcentral describes it as "tRNA-Thr (GGT) (tRNA-Thr-GGT-4-1)". The record is from RNAcentral. Lineage: Eukaryota; Metazoa; Chordata; Hyperoartia; Petromyzontiformes; Petromyzontidae.